This 24-nucleotide non-coding RNA is filed under the name Arabidopsis thaliana (thale cress). The record is from RNAcentral. Lineage: Eukaryota; Viridiplantae; Streptophyta; Magnoliopsida; Brassicales; Brassicaceae.
UGAGCCAACCGUAAGUAGAGGCUU